Molecule: long non-coding RNA, 277 nt
Filed under: Nicotiana benthamiana
Lineage: Eukaryota; Viridiplantae; Streptophyta; Magnoliopsida; Solanales; Solanaceae
Description: long non-coding RNA (NBEN_LNC037326)
Source: RNAcentral
UUCUUCCGGCAGAAUCUUUGCCACUUAAACUGACGUUUCUCCAACUCGAGGGCUUCAGCUUGGAUGCCAAUCUUUUCCUCUUCUAGUUGAAGCAUCCGUUUCUUAAUCCACAUUUUCUGUUCCCACUUCGAUUUCAUAGGGUCUUGGAAAAAUUCAUUAGCAUCCGCUUCUUAAUCCACAUUUUCUGUUCCCACUUUGAUUUCGUAGGGUCUUGAAAAAAUUCAUUAAUUUCAGCAAUAAAAUUAUCAUUCCCACUAGUAUGUGGCAAGAAGUUGCC